UACGUAGGGUGCGAGCGUUGUCCGGAAUUAUUGGGCGUAAAGAGCUCGUAGGCGGUGUGUCACGUCGGCCGUGAAAACCUGCAGCUUAACUGUGGGCGUGCGGUCGAUACGGGCAUCACUGGAGUUCGGCAGGGGAGACUGGAAUUCCUGGUGUAGCGGUGAAAUGCGCAGAUAUCAGGAGGAACACCGAUGGCGAAGGCAGUUCUCUGGGCCGUAACUGACGCUGAGGAGCGAAAGCGUGGGGAGCGAACAGG
This 254-nucleotide ribosomal RNA is filed under the name uncultured bacterium. RNAcentral describes it as "partial 16S ribosomal RNA". It matches the Rfam family "Bacterial small subunit ribosomal RNA", at positions 524 to 776 of the family's 1533-position model. The record is from RNAcentral.